This 1471-nucleotide ribosomal RNA is filed under the name uncultured Bordetella sp. RNAcentral's name for it is "partial 16S-23S ribosomal RNA intergenic spacer". It matches the Rfam family "Bacterial small subunit ribosomal RNA". The record is from RNAcentral. Lineage: Bacteria; Pseudomonadati; Pseudomonadota; Betaproteobacteria; Burkholderiales; Alcaligenaceae.
GGUUCGAUGGCUCAGAUUGAACGCUGGCAGGAUGCUUACACAUGCAAGUCGAACGGCAGCACGGACUUCGGUCUGGUGGCAGCGUUACUGGCGAACGGGUGCGAGUAAUGUAUCGGAACGUGCCUGAUAGCGGGGAUAACUACGUGGCGUAGCUAAUACCACCCAUACGCCCUUCAGGGAAAGCGGGGGACCUUCAGACUCGCACUAUUAGAGCGGCCGAUAUCGGAUUAGGUAGUUGGUGGGGUAACGGCUCACCAAGGCGACGAUCCGUAGCUGGUUUGAGGAGACAUUUCCAACCACUGGGACGGGGCGGCCAGACUCCUACGGGAGAGCAGCAGUACAAUUUUGGACAAUGGGGGAAACCCUGAUCCAGCCAUCCCGCGUGUGCGAUGAAGGCCUUCAGUUCGCAAAGCACUUUUUGAGCGGAAAGAAACGGCACGGGAUAAUACCCCGUGCGGCGGCUGACUACCACCCGGAAGCCGCUUUGGCCAACUUCCGAUGCCAGCAACCGCGGUAAUACGUAGGGUGCAGCGUUAAUCGGAAUUACUGGGCGUAAAGCGUGCGCAGGGCGGUUCGGAAGAAGAUGUGAAAUCCCAGGCUUAACUUUGGAACUGCAUUUUUAACUACCGAGCUAGAGUGUGUCAGAGGUGGACCCACGCGAUGUAGCAGUGAAAUGCGUAGAUAUGCGGAGGAACACGGAUGGCGAGGCAACCUCCUGGGAUAACACUGACGCUCAUGCACGAAAAGCGUGGAACAACAGGAUUAGAUACCCUGGUAAUGAUCCACGCCCACCGACGAUAUCAACUAGCUGUUGGGGCCUUCGGGCCUUGGUAGCGCAGCUAACGUGAAGUUGACCGCCUGGGAAAUACGGUCGCGAAUUAAAACUCUGAAAAAUUGACGGGGAUUACUUUUAAGCGGUGGAUGGUGUGGAUUAAUUCGAUGCAACGCGAAAAACCUUACCUACCUUGACAUGUCUGGAAUCCCGAAGAGAUUUGGGGUGCUCGCAAGAGAACCGGAACACAGACGCUGCAUGGCUGUCGUCAGCUCGUGUCGUGAGAUGUUGGGUUAAGUCCGCAACGAGCGCAACCCUUGUCAUUAGUUGCUACGAAAGACGCUCUAAUGAGACUGCCGGUGACAAACCGGGGAAGGUGGGGAUGACGUCAAGUCCUCAUGGCCCUUAUGGGUGAACCACACGUCAUACAAUGGUCGGGACAGAGGUCGCCAACCCGCGAGGAGGCCAAUCCAGAGCCCGAUCGUGGUGAGGAUCGCAGUCUGCAACUCGACUGCGUGAAGUCGGAAUCGCUAGUAAUCGCGGAUCAGCAUGUCGCGGUGAAUACGUUCCCCGGGUCUUGUACACACCGCCCGUACCACACCAUGGGAGUGGGUUUUACCAGAAGUAGUUAGCCUAACCGUAAAGGAGGGCGAUUACCACGGUAGGAUUCAUGACUGGGGUGAAGUCGUAACAAGGUAA